AUUGAACGCUGGCGGCAGGCCUAACACAUGCAAGUCGAGCGAGUGGCAGACGGGAGAGUAAUGUGUGGGAAACUGCCUGAGGGGGGGGGAAAACUACGGGACACGGUAGCUAAUACCGCAUAACCUCAGAUGUGCACAGAUGGGAUUAGCGAGUUGGUGGGGUAACGGCUCACCAAGGCGACGAUCCAUAGCUGGUCUGAGAGGAUGACCAGCCACACUGGAACUGAGACACGGUCCAGACUCCUACGGGAGGCAGCAGUGGGGAAUAUUGCACAAUGGGCGCAAGCCUGAUGCAGCCAUGCCGCGUGUGUGAAGAAGGCCUUCGGGUUGUAAAGUACUUUCAGCGGGGAGGCGUUACCCGCAGAAGAAGCACCGGCUAACUCCGUGCCAGCCGCCGCGGUAAUUC
Molecule: ribosomal RNA, 406 nt
Filed under: uncultured bacterium
Lineage: Bacteria
Description: partial 16S ribosomal RNA
Rfam family: Bacterial small subunit ribosomal RNA
Source: RNAcentral